GCCCCUGGCUAUUUCCUGCAGAGGGUCUGCUCUCAGUGGCCAAAGGAGGGCGCUGGAGAACGGACCUGAGCAGACAGGCAGGAGCUCCUGUGCAGGUCCUCCCAGGCACCACCCCUUCUGGAAGGAAGGCAUGGGAGUCCCCUAAGACAGAUCCUCAGUCACUUCUCUUUGCCUGCUCCUUCUACUGUCUUCUAUGCUAGGGAUCACUUCCUUGUUGAGUGGCACCUGAAUUUUGAGAGGUUCCUCUGCUCCUCUUCAUCUGACCCCUUUCCUUCCAAGGCCCCACAGAGGAAGGCAUGCGGUGGGCCCUAGCCCUGCUUCUAGCUCUCCUGUCUCCUGCCAGUCAGAAAUCUUCCAACUUGGAAGGGAAGAUGAAGACAAUCACCGGGCCGGCUGGGUCACCUGCAGAAAUCACCUGUGAUCUUCCUGGAGUCAGUACCUUAUACAUCCACUGGUACCUACAGCAGGAGGGGAAGGCCCCACAGCGUCUUCUGUACUAUGAACCCUACUACUUCACGGUUGUGUUGGAAUCAGGAAUCAGUCCAGGAAAGUAUGAUACUGCAAGGACAAGGAAGAGCUGGAAUUUGAGACUGCAAAAUCCAAUUGAAAAUGAUUCUGGGGUCUAUUACUGUGCCACCUGGGACAGGCACCAUGAUUCAGACCUGCCCUACACCACACUAAAAAUCUGCCUGUGGUUGCUUCUGGUAAGAUAGACCAGCCAACUCUUAUUUCCUGCCCUGAAUUUACUGUAUUCUGUACAAAGAGAAACACAGCUUAACUCCUGAUCUCCCCACUAAUAUCACACUCCCCUGGGCAGCAGCUGCACCCUGUUCCCCACUCUCCCCCAGGACUUUCCCGAAGACCAAGCUGCCAUGUUCAGGCCUCAGCUCAGCAGCCUGGCUGACAGCAAGCUUCUCUCAGCUCUCCCAGGACGUGGGGGAGGCCCACUCACUCUGCUUCCUAGGACAGACAGGUACACCUAGAGUCCAGCUGUGAAGCAAGAUAUUUUGGAUAGCAAAUGGGAAGGGUAUUUAUACUAAAUCAUGUAUCCAAUCAUGGUCCAGAGAUCACAGCUGAGCGUGGCGCUUAUUCCUUAUGUCCAUAACAAUAUACGCAAUACUAUAAUGAUCACCAAAACACUAGGCCUAGAUAUGCAGUUGAACAUUCUCGCCCUCUGCCCUCCCUUUUAUCCUCAUCCUCCUUUCUUACUUCCAUGCUUGCUUUUAUUAUUUUUCUCUCCCUCCCUCCCUUCUUCCUGUCCUUCCAUCUUCCCUCCCUCCCCCAUUCUUCCUUCCUUCCAUCCAUUCUCCGUUUCUUUCCUUCCUUCCUUCCUUCCUUGCUUUUCUCUCUCUUUCCUUCCUUUUUGGGUACAUAAUCAGAUAACUUUUUCCACAAAAUCAUUUGAAAUAAUUUUCCUCUAUUUGUUUAUGCCAACAUUGAUACAGCUACUUUAAAUGUUCAGUCUUCAUUUUUAUAUCUUGGAAAUUUGCUGUGUUACUUUGUUUUGUUUCAUAUUUGUUUUGUAUAUAUAAAACAUUUACAUGGAACUGAAGUCAAAAUUAUAGAAGAUGCAUUUGAAGAUUUUAGCAUCCAUUGUAGAGUUCUCGUUCCUCUUUUCUCCCUCACCCUAUAGGUAAAAAUAUUUGUAUCAGUUUUCUUGAACUUUUUAACUUUGUUUGUCAUAGCGCAGUAUGUAUCAAUUCUAUUUAAAUGACAUAUUUAUAUUUUUGUUCCUAUAUUUGGUUUUUAAAAUUUUAAUCAGUCUCUUAUUUUCGCGUGUCUGGAUUUGGUGUCUGACUUCUAAAGGUGCACAUACUUCAUAAGUAUGCGUAAAGAAAUCCGUAUCUUGUAUUUGAA
This is a non-coding RNA of Piliocolobus tephrosceles (Ugandan red Colobus), 1857 nucleotides long. NCBI's taxonomy places the organism in Eukaryota, Metazoa, Chordata, Mammalia, Primates, Cercopithecidae. The record is from the annotation of a RefSeq genome assembly.